Molecule: long non-coding RNA, 1024 nt
Organism: Nymphalis io (European peacock)
Lineage: Eukaryota; Metazoa; Arthropoda; Insecta; Lepidoptera; Nymphalidae
Exons: 3
Source: RefSeq, a predicted model, not a curated record
AUUUCCAAUAUCACGUAUGCAUUGUACAAACUUAAGUGAACAACAAACAUUUUAUACUGAUAAUGCCAUUACAAAGCACUGAACCUCAUUAGCAGUGCAGAUAAGCGACUAAAUCGAAUCGGAAGUAGAAAAGAGCUUAGAAAUAGACAGGAUUCCAGAGUUCUUGUUAUACACGAGUCGAAUUACUCAUCGAACCAGUUUUUCGAUUAUUGGUCUUGCACUAGCAAUAUUAAAGAAAAUGUUUCAUUAAUUCUCGGUCGCGAUGAUAUAACGCGAAACUGACACUGCCUAUGAUGGUGACAAAAGUGAAGCUGAUUUUAUAUGAGAAGGGAUAUGGCUGUUAGUUUCGUCGAUAGCACCGAACUCACAUUGACGAGACUUGAUUUGCAAUACUAAUUAAUCCACAAUAUGUUCAAGUAUCACACGGAUAUUACAAGAAUCCGUUUCACUGUUUUGUGUAUUUCCUAAUGCAAUUGGCUGUAAUACAUACUCCUUGCGGCGUGCACUGCGUCGCUUGUCGUCAGCGGUCGCAGCAGGCGGCGGGUCGACGCGCGGUUCCGCCUCGCUCGUCUGUCCCGAGCUAAGCGAUGCCGCCACGCCGGAGUCGCUCUCCGCUUCGCUCUCGCCGCCUUCCAUUGAACCACUGAAUUCUGCAUAUCUGCGUGUGAGAUGGAACGGCACGUUACUCACUUACGGCAACCCACUCCUUAAUCUGCACGGCAUGAGGGUGUCCCUUCUCGACGAGUCCGUCUGCAAGUUGUGCCAACAACCGCACUCUUUCGCGGGACUCGCGAGCCACGCCGCCCGCUGCCGCCGCCGCAGCCGCUCCGCAUCGCUCCUGGGUCUCGCGGAUCCACUCCACGGCCGCUCGCGCAGACCGCUCGAACAGAGCGAAUUGUUGGCACUGCUCGAGACGCUUCUUACGUACAGUCCAGUGCUCCAGAACCUAAAACAAGUUAAAUAUAAAUACAUAAAUUCUAAGACCAAUCUCACCAACAAACAAUAACCGAUUGUAUAAAUUUGA